UUGUCAAGGGGGAGUUUGUUGGUGCAUGUUUUGUGACAGGAAUGCUAGACGUUUGAGUAUCUAUGAAGAGCGGAUCUAAUUGUAUUAGAGAAUUCAAGAGAAGGUCACGGCGAGACGAGCCGUUUAUCAUUACGAUAGGUGUCAAGUGGAAAAAAAAUAAUAAUUACCGGUAAUAGUUUGUUUAUUUAGUCUUUGGAUAUUUUGUAUUAGGCUUAGCAUAUUGGUUAGGGAGUUAUUUCUAUGUAAUGGGCUUGGAGAAUGGCCUAGCCCAGACCAAAGCCCAUGUGCAAAGCUUGUUCUAUAAAUACAAGGCUUGGCAUUAGGGUUUAGGUUAGCCAGUGGAUAGAGAUUGAGAGAGAGUUAGAGAAAUCUACAGAGAGUGGCUGGGAGAUUUCUUGUGGGUCUUGAAUUGAUUGUAAACUUCGUGUUGGAUAAUCAAUAGAAGACCGGAUUGAAAGUGUAUCGUGUUCUUGAUUCUGUUUCUACUCAUUUUCUGUGAAAUCUGAUCUAGGGGAUUCCGC
Molecule: long non-coding RNA, 521 nt
Filed under: Helianthus annuus (common sunflower)
Lineage: Eukaryota; Viridiplantae; Streptophyta; Magnoliopsida; Asterales; Asteraceae
Description: sRNA HanXRQr2_Chr12g0534691
Source: RNAcentral